CCUUUCAAUGCAGAAGAGUUGAGGUGGUUGAGUAUCUCGCCCCUCAAUUCUCGCUGUAUUUUUACCCUUGUUUUUCUCAUACUAUUAUUUCCUCGGCAGGCCAGCCUGCCGGGUGAAACAACUUCAAACCUGUUUAAUUUUCAAUCAGCGUCUGAACAAAUAAUAAUUA
Molecule: unclassified non-coding RNA, 169 nt
Filed under: soil metagenome
Description: partial internal transcribed spacer 1
Source: RNAcentral